UCCUUGAUGGUCUAAUGGUUAUGAUUUCCGCUUGUCAACUUCGCUGAGUAAGCGAGUAACAAGCGCGGGAGACCGGGGUUCGAUUCCCCGUCAGGGAG
Trichophyton benhamiae CBS 112371 is the source of this 98-nucleotide non-coding RNA. The record is from Rfam. Lineage: Eukaryota; Fungi; Ascomycota; Eurotiomycetes; Onygenales; Arthrodermataceae.